CCACGCUGUAAACGAUGGAUGCUAGAUGUCGGGGAGUAUUCUUCGGUGUCGUAGUUAACGCGUUAAGCAUCCCGCCUGGGGAGUACGGUCGCAAGGCUGAAACUCAAAGAAAUUGACGGGGGCCCGCACAAGCGGUGGAGUAUGUGGUUUAAUUCGAUGCAACGCGAAGAACCUUACCUAGGUUUGACAUCUACGGAAGCCUUCUGAAAGGAAGGCGUGCCCUUCGGGGAGCCGUAAGACAGGUGCUGCAUGGCUGU
RNAcentral lists this ribosomal RNA (257 nucleotides) under uncultured bacterium. Its description in RNAcentral is "partial 16S ribosomal RNA". It matches the Rfam family "Bacterial small subunit ribosomal RNA", at positions 795 to 1052 of the family's 1533-position model. The record is from RNAcentral.